This 133-nucleotide small nucleolar RNA is filed under the name Drosophila sechellia. RNAcentral describes it as "snoRNA:GM27684". Lineage: Eukaryota; Metazoa; Arthropoda; Insecta; Diptera; Drosophilidae. The record is from RNAcentral.
UGUGGAGUCAAAGUGGCAUGUUUUAAAUUAUAAUUUGAUUUGUGUCUCAAAUGCUCCAAUAUCAACAUGAUAUCCGAACGGCAUCCUGCAUAAUCAUCAUAUUAUAGCAGAUGACUUGUGUUUGUGUACAGUA